Dicentrarchus labrax (European seabass) is the source of this 2365-nucleotide long non-coding RNA. RefSeq lists it as uncharacterized. The record is from RefSeq and is a predicted model, not a curated record. NCBI's taxonomy places the organism in Eukaryota, Metazoa, Chordata, Actinopteri, Moronidae. The transcript is spliced from 3 exons.
GUGAAAAUAUGACUGGACAACACAAAGCAUUGAUGAGCAUUAUUACAGAGCAUUUUAUUUACAGAGGUUUAAUUUCCUAAUAGUAUGUUCACAGUACAAUGCCUUGUAUUUUUUUCCUGUUGUUCAAAUAUUCAGUUAAAGUGCACCAUCUUCUAUCUUCCCUUUGUAAUCCUCUAGAGGGAGGUCUAUGCAAACUCUUCAUUCUUUAUAAACACACCAACAGCAACUGUGAAAUAAUUUUAGACAGGACAACUGACACAGUCUUAUAAAUCUUAGAAAGACUUUGAUCAGAAAUCACUGAACUCCACAAUUUACUAUAGAAUGGAAAAUAUGAUUGUCCGGAGUCUAAUAUUUGUAAUGGCUAUUCAUGGAGUUUGGAGUGAGAUCAAACUGGACUCCCUCUGAGGUGAAAAGACCUGGAGAGACAGUGAAGAUGUCAUGUAUCAUUAGAGGUGGGCGAUAUAUAUCGUUUGCGAUAAUAUCGUCAUUGUUGUUUUGACGAUGUGCAAAUUUCCAUUAUCGAGUAUUUAAAUUACUUCGACAAAAACAAUGAAACGCCCGCGGAAACUCCUCACAUCCAUUAAUACACGGUGCAGCAGCGCUCUCUACAGCAUGGCAGGAUUCAGUCACACAACUAGUGGGCCUCUCGCUAGCAUCCUCCUUGCAACAGUUUAGCAGCGCGUUGCGAUGGUAGAGAGAAAAUGCAAGCACCUCCAGUCCCUGAAGCUACCGGUACUUCAGAUGAUUUAGUGCCGAGACGUGGGCUUCAGCGUUCAGAGCGCUAAGCGCCUUCAGCGGUAAAAAGAUGUCAGCGGAGACGUUUUUUUUAGCGCAGCGCUCAGAGUGCUUCAAGUUGAAAUCUGUUCAACUUUUAACACCGCUGGGCGCUUGGAAAAUGAGUUUUUGAGCGCUCUCAGCGCUGUAAACGCGUUUGGUGGACACAAGUCCAGCUCAGACAAUUCUAAUCACAUUUUAAAGGAUAUCGGCUGAUUAUCGUUAUCGCCAAAAUCCCAAAAAAUAUUGAGAUAUUAUUUUUUGCCCAUAUCGCCCACCCCUAUGUAUCAUAUCCGGUUAUAGCAUGACAAGCGGCUAUUUUUCCUGGAUUCGACAGAGGCCAGGGAAAGCUCUGGAGUGGAUUGGAACAAUUAAUUCAGGUUCAAGCUCUGUUACCUAUUCCAGCUCCUUUCAAAGUCGUUUCAUCAUGACUGAAGAUGUGUCCAGCAGCACUCAGUACCUCGAGGUCAACAGCCUGACAGCAGAAGAUUCUGCUGUUUACUUCUGUGCUCGAGAAACCACAGUGACUGAAGACAGUGGAGCAGCUGCACAAAAACCUCCACAAACAACAAACAGCAGUGUGAUCUUCUUCACUUCUGGGUUUUCUCAUAUAUGGAUAUGAACACAUAUAUAGUGUCACAAGUAAUGUUCAUGUAAAGUCAGUGGAGAGAAAUUAGCAAAUAAAUUAGCAGCUUGAAGCAUAGCAGCCCUUCCUGUUCUUAUAUAACAGUAUGCUGAUGUCACGGGGGGGAAGUUUGAUUUUAUUUAAGCAUGCUUUUACUUUGAAUUUGCUGUGUUUUUGUCUUUAUUAUUGCAUGCUUUUAUUUUGAAGUGUGGUGUGUGUGUUUGUUUCGUUGGUUUUACUUCCCCACCGGAGACAUGCCUUAAUCAAGCGUAAGGACUUACACCUGGGACCCAGAGAGGGAAGUGACUGUUCUUGGAUAAAAAGGACACUAUGGAAGACACCCGGGGCACGAGGGAGGACACGGAGGGCACAACGGGCCGGACAGCAGGAAGCAGACAGAGAGACAGAGCGGAUCAUCGGCCUGGAAGAGGUCUGAAGAGACACCGGAGCAAACACCGACCGCUAGCGGCUAUAAUUGGGAGAAGGUAAAACUUCUCCCUCCCGCGUAAGUCCCGUUUUAGACCGGUGUUUGUGUAGUGUGUAAUAUAUAAAGUUGUGCCUUGUUAAAGGACAUUGACUGGCCCUGAGUUUCCCUCGACAGGCUGCCGAAGAGCGGAGCCAGGUGAAGAGCAGGUGGUCGCCACCAGAGACCCGCGACUGCCGUUGUUGACCUCCCACUCCAUCCGUCCCGCAUUAUUUUAGCUGGGUUUUAGUUGUUUCUGUUCUUUGUUUUAGUUUCUUUGAAGGUUUCAGUUCCUGAGCAGCUGUUUUCCUCUCGAGGCUCUAAGUCGUCUUCAAACAUCUGCAAACAUGGAAACUGUUAAAUGUCUUUAAUGCAAACCUGCAGACAGUUCUCAUAUUAUUUACAUGGUUCUCACUGCUCUCACUGUAUUUCUGUUUGAAGCAGAUACAAUCAGUACAGUCAGUGAGCAAAUUAAUGAAUAAAUAAAUGCUGCGAUAUUACAA